CAGCUCCCGUAACUUCAGACAACAGGAACAGUAUGUAAGAAGAGCUGCAUUAUCUAGAUUCUAGGUCUCAAAAUAUAAGGAAUGACCUCACGAGUCACAGCCCAGUUGUUCCUAUAUGUAGUUAGAAGGAGAUAUCUGAAGUACAAACAACUCUACAAGCAGGCCUCCUGCUUCUCCCCUCAGGCUAUGCAGAAUUAUUCAUACUCAAGGUCUAAAGAGGAACAUCAGCACGAAGGAAAAACAGACUAAAGAGUGAAAACAAAUUAGCAAUCCAAACAGCUCUCUCCCAGCCUGUCACUGGAAGGCCUUUGGUGUCUCAUUCCAGAGUCAAGGGGUUUUCUGAGUUGAAGAUUAAAGGAUACAUUUUCAGGGCUCAGAGAACAGACAAUCUGUGAAAUGCAUAUUCACCCAAGGCAGCCAGAACAAGGUGCGCAUAUGAAGAACCGGGAUGGGCCUUCACCCCAAACCAGAUGAGCCUUGUAUGGAUAGUCGGUAUUUUGCACCCACUGGGCUCGAGUCUUUCAUAUUUUAUUCAUGCUUGGGUAAGGAAAAAAAGAAAG
RNAcentral lists this long non-coding RNA (560 nucleotides) under Homo sapiens (human). RNAcentral's name for it is "HSALNT0308836". Lineage: Eukaryota; Metazoa; Chordata; Mammalia; Primates; Hominidae. The record is from RNAcentral.